This 3842-nucleotide long non-coding RNA is filed under the name Triticum aestivum (bread wheat). Its description in RNAcentral is "long non-coding RNA (TAES_LNC021098)". Lineage: Eukaryota; Viridiplantae; Streptophyta; Magnoliopsida; Poales; Poaceae. The record is from RNAcentral.
AUUUAACCUGUGAAGGACUACACAAUGCUCAUUUAACCUAUGAAGGACAAAAAUAUUCCAUCCUCUCUGAAUGAUGAACUAAACUAAAUAAGAAAUAUAUGCAGUAAAUUCAUUCGAAGUAGAAAAGGGAUCUUACAUCAAAUAAGGCAUUACAACAAACAUGGUGUUAUCUUAGUAAAAGAAAUUACAUCAUUAGAAGAGAAAAGGGAAGAAAACCAAACAUGAGGUUGAGAUUAAUACAUCUAGGAGGAGGUCGUAGACAUCACUUUGAUCAUGACAUCACUGUGAUCAUUUUGCGGCCUGGGGAGCAAGGAUCCAUGGUUUUUAUAUGCCUUGUCCGGCUGCUGGAGUUGAUGACAUGGAAACGUCAUCUCUACCAUCUCGAUGGCUUAGACCCAGGGAGCCGGAUGUUCAUCUCAGCCCUCCCCAGCUUCCAUCAAUGGAUUUUUAUAGUCAGGGUUAAAGACUGAGAGGCCCUAUGCAUGUUCACAAAAACACAAUUUUGACAAAUUAUCUCUAUUGUAAAAUUGAGGGAGUAACUCAUUAUUCGAGAGAACUGGUCGUACAUGAAGCAUCAAGAACACACGUGCAAAAAUCUAAUUCUAACUGAAUUUAGCUUUCAGUUGGCAUUUCCUCAAACAAUCAAGUGCACCUAUUAUUAUUUGGCUGACAAAAAUAUGAACACCAAACAUGCCAUCAUCAUUAAGCAAUUCAAGGAUGUCUAUGAAUCGGACAUGAAAUAUUUGGAGCAUGGAAUAAAAAACAGCACACUGUCUUCUGGCGUAGAUGCACAAUAGAUGCACUCCUUCAAAUAGAGAUCAAUUUUCAGCUGAAACGAUAGAUGCACUCUUUCAAAUAUGCAUCAUAGUAGGUCCUACAAAAAUCACGAGAAAUUAGAGGAUGCAACUUGAUGACUGCCUUCUAUAUCAUUUGGAGGACAAAAGAAGCUAGAAAAAUUGUGAUGAACCACCAAUCCCUGUUAAAAGUAACUAUCAUUCCCCUUUGAUAUAUGGAUAUAUCAAUCAAGAGAGAGAGUGGGGGGGUUAUACCAGGAAACACUUUGCAAACAUAAGCUUUUAAACUGGUAGUCAACUUACUGUCAACAUGUAAGGUUGCCUCAUUUCUGAAAAACACAAAUCCACCCUAAAUUUUCACAUGAAUAAAAUGUAGAUUUUCUCUUCUAUCAAGAUAUUACAUGUCUGGUAUCUUCUUGUAGGAACUGCUACCAUCAUUUGCUUCUUCUCACAAAGAAUUCAAUCCAUAGUAUGCCAAGAAGCUAUGAAAAAAAAUUAAUUUCUUCAAAGAAUAAAAUACAUUGCAGAAAUAAAAUACUCUAUCAGAGAGUUGGCAGGCAAGGUAGUAGGGACAAGAAGAGCAAGAACUAACUUUGAGAGGAUAUGGGCAAACUCCUGCAUUGUGCCCUGGCUGACCCCUACGCUUACGCCAUGCCUCCUGUAUCCAUUCCUCAUUCCUCUGUGUUGUGAUAGAAAUUCAGAAUGGCAAAUAAAAGUAUUAUUAGAUUGCAGCCUUAAUUUCUUAUCCUUUAGUAGAUGCACAUUUGAUUCUAUUCUUAGAUUGCAGCCUUAAUUUCUUAUCCUUUAGUAGACGCACAUUUGAUUCUGAAGGAAGAAGACGGGAAAUAUGCAUAUAGCAAGAAAUAGUAAAAAUAUGUUCUUUCGAACUUGCAUGGCUAUUUGUUUUUUCUGUAAACAUGCCAAUCUACUGCCAUCUCACUCGCCUUAAUUUCUUACCUUUUCAUAGAUGCAAAUUUGAUUUUGAGCAAGUAGAGAAGCAAUAUACGAUAGCAUACAUCAAGAAAGAGUAGAAGAAUGUUCUUUUCAGCUGAUGUACACUAUAGAUGCAAAUUAUAUAUAUACGACUAUAAUUUUUUUCCUGUAAAUACACUGAUGUACUACCAUCUCAUUACAAAUUAUGUAUCGUGCCAAGGAAAAAUCAUUUUACUUUUCAGCAUAUAUAUACGAUCAUACGGUAGUCACACAUAUAAGCAGCACCACAAAAACAAACACACAAACAUGACACCUGGAAAAAUCAGGAACGGAGGAAUUAGCAUGACAAUAAGAAGUAAACAAAUAGGGUAGAAAAGUGCAGUGCUUAGAAAAGAAUGACAAGGAGAAACAUUGACCAAAGGAACAGAGAAGGAGCAACCUUAGCGAUUCUAGAGCCUGCAAAAUAGAAGGAAAGGAAGGUUAGCCAAACAAGCCAGUCUGUUCAAUACCUAACACAACAACAAAUCAAAGACAACCUAGCUUUACAUGGCAGAAAUUUCAAGAGAAAAAAUAUAUAAUAUGAUAUCUAACUGUGCGAAUACAUUAGGAAAUACCACUUCCAAAUUAGAGCGCACCAUUCCCCAAAACUCAAGGACUCAAUAUUCAAAAACUACACAUCAUGAUAGUUAGUUGUUCUACAGCAGCAAGCUAAAUAACACCUAGGUUGUGUAUUAUCUCAUCACACAAAGAAUGUAAAUCAUCACUCCAUAAGAUCAAGAUUUACUAUUUAUUCUACUUCUGCCCCCAACGCAUGAAAAUGCAGCUCCAUUUGGAAUCUGCUCUCCAGUCAAGUAUUUUGUUAAGCAAAUAGGCACAUAGCAAAAAACCAAACCAGAUUCCCGCCUCCAUAUAUGCUUCACGUAUAGUUGUUUACCAAUUCUAGUUCUGCUUGAAACAUCAAGCAUAAUUGGCUACUGAUUCAUUUAUAAAAUAGAAGUGCACCAAAAAAUAACUAUUUGAAAUUACAAAUAGGGAUAGGCCAAUAGAUGACCUCUUAAUUCCAUAGGAAUCACAAAAUCCCAAAAAACGGUACAAUUAUCAUUUUAUAAAUGUUCGCACCUUAAAGUUAACAAUCUUCUCAAAUUAGCAUACAGGGCUAACAUAAACUUAAGCAAGACUGUCCAAAUGAUCAUGGUACAUGGUGGAUUUAUCAUAAUUAAUAUUUGGCUGGAAGUGGGCUACGUUCUACAGAUAUUCUGAAGCUCAUUUUCAGUAGUCAGAUAAAUCGACCUGCUACAGCGCCUCUAGCCGCCCACCAACACCCACGAUAGGCCACCAUGGACGACGUGCACCUGAUUCCACCAGGAAGCCAAUCCUAUACCAUCGCUAGUGUGCGCGCGCCUAAAGUGCACAGUGAGGCAGAUCUUCCCUUCGUGGUAUAUCUGCAUCAAUAUCCCAACCACAACAAGAAUCACUGCCAAGAAUGAUUAUCACCCGACAACACUAUUUUUUUAACAAGUUUCAUGGUGGCAAUUCAUAGAACAGUCCAACAUAAAUAAAGAAGCUGCAACCAUAGUGUGAGAAUUGGAAGGGAAUACUGAAGCGAACAUGGGCGCAAAGAAAUACACAACUGAACUGGAGACAAUGAAAGUAGACCACUCCAAAACAUUAAGAAACCUAUAGUCGUUAAUGUGGAAACUAAAUCUCAUUGAGGUGGAGAUGACUCAUAACCUACAGAUGAAAAGAAGAGCUCGCCUGCAGAUUGGGACCCUCGAUGUAGCCAUGGAAGCCUAGCCAUACAAAGUGGUGCUUCGAUGCGAAAACUCAAGGCAACCGUGGCAAGGCCCCAUCGAACAACGCCUCAUUUCCUCUCACUCCACCUAUUUCCCAUAACUUAGAUUCAUAAUCAAAUAUUCAGGUGCAAUAACAAUUUUUGUCCGGUUAUAAGUUAAAACUAAGGAAAUUAAAUACUAAUUAGAAUCUGAGACACAUCCAACCAAGGAAAUCGAUCUACAAGAUGCCCUUGCAGCACAAGACAACUCCUCCCUUAGCCAAUCCAUAGACGACAGCUCAUUGGUCGCUACUUGUUGGCGCAUUCAGACUUCUCCUUUCCCU